RNAcentral lists this ribosomal RNA (440 nucleotides) under uncultured bacterium. Its description in RNAcentral is "partial 16S ribosomal RNA". It matches the Rfam family "Bacterial small subunit ribosomal RNA", at positions 338 to 795 of the family's 1533-position model. The record is from RNAcentral.
CCUACGGGAGGCAGCAGUGGGGAAUAUUGCACAAUGGGGGGAACCCUGAUGCAGCGACGCCGCGUGAGUGAAGAAGUACUUCGGUAUGUAAAGCCCUAUCAGCAGGGAAGAAAAUGACGGUACCUGACCAAGAAGCCCCGGCUAACUACGUGCCAGCAGCCGCGGUAAUACGUAGGGGGCAAGCGUUAUCCGGAUUUACUGGGUGUAAAGGGAGCGUAGACGGCAAGACAAGUCUGGAGUGAAAGCCCGGGGCUUAACCCCGGGACUGCUUUGGAAACUGUGUUGCUGGAGUGCAGGAGGGGUAAGUGGAAUUCCUAGUGUAGCGGUGAAAUGCGUAGAUAUUAGGAGGAACACCAGUGGCGAAGGCGGCUUACUGGACUGUAACUGACGUUGAGGCUCGAAGGCGUGGGGAGCAAACAGGAUUAGAUACCCUUGUAGUC